Molecule: ribosomal RNA, 354 nt
Filed under: uncultured bacterium
Lineage: Bacteria
Description: partial 16S ribosomal RNA
Rfam family: Bacterial small subunit ribosomal RNA
Source: RNAcentral
CCUACGGGGGGCAGCAGUGGGGAAUAUUGCACAAUGGGGGAAACCCUGAUGCAGCGACGCCGCGUGAGUGAAGAAGUAAUUCGUUAUGUAAAGCUCUAUCAGCAGGGAAGAAAAUGACGGUACCUGAGCAAGAAGCCCCGGCUAACUACGUGCCAGCAGCCGCGGUAAUACGUAGGGGGCAAGCGUUAUCCGGAUUUACUGGGUGUAAAGGGAGCGUAGACGGCAGUGCAGGUCUGGAGUGAAAGGCGGGGGGCCAACCCCGGGACUGCUUUGGAAACUGUACGGCUGGAGUGCAGGAGGGGUAAGUGGAAUUCCUGGUGUAGCGGUGAAAUGCGUAGAUAUUAGGAGGAACAC